AGUAGAACAGAUAAAACAUGUUAAUAAAACAUGCUCACAUGGAAUGCAUCACAUCACAAGUAAAUCACCCAUCUCAGACGGACAGAUUCAAAAAUCCCUCUGCUCUGUGCCCGGCCCGCGAAGGAGCUCCUCAGGACUUUAUUCCGCACCCUAUGGUGCUCUAUGCCCGGCCCUCUCAGGGCUCCUCAGGACUUUACUCGGAGGGCUAAUGAAUCCAAACUAUGUCCGAUCCGUACAAGCAUAGAAUAAUGCAAUGCGUCACAUUCGUGUAUUCUAGUGCACUCAACCUAUUACAUAUCAUGAUGC
Molecule: long non-coding RNA, 306 nt
Filed under: Manihot esculenta (cassava)
Lineage: Eukaryota; Viridiplantae; Streptophyta; Magnoliopsida; Malpighiales; Euphorbiaceae
Description: long non-coding RNA (MESC_LNC008584)
Source: RNAcentral